AGCCUAAAAGUUCACAACGAAACACAAUAGGGAUGCCAAUUAACAAUAGAGACCUCACAAACUGAUAAGGAUGCCAAUUGACGAGUUGUGAAUGCAGAGAUAUGAACUAAAAAAAUUACUAUAACUGUUGCAGACAGCAAUUUGUCAAACUAUUGGGAACUUUAAGUCCUGGUUAUAUAUAAAAAUUCAUAGCAAAUGUGGUCGAGCAAAUUAUUAAUUUAUGAGCCAGAAAUGAAUAAAAAGAGAAUGGCUGAAAAGUAUAAGAAAGUUAAACAUACAAAAUGAUCGUGAUCUCUUAUCCCUGAUAAAGUAUUAACUGGUAUAUCAAAGUGAUCACAGUUAUUCAAACACGAGACUCUGAGAUGGGAAAGUUAAAUAAAAGAACCUGAUAACCAUUCCAUUCUGAAUUUUGAGAAGAAACUACUUGAGGUGGUGGAAUCAUCAGUGUCGAGUAAACCGGAUCCUCAUUCAAUGGCCUUGGUGCAGACCAUGGUGCCACUGUUGAUUGUGAUGCACCUUGUAAAGAUGCAGGACCACCAUUACCAUAUCCAGAUGGGGGAUCAGAUCCUCCUGUAGCUGUCGGAUCAGGGUGGUUAAACCUGCAGUUCGAUGCAUACUUGCAGGAGCCAUUUUGCAUAUAGUACGGACACUCCCUUUUACCCUGUAACAAUUAAAAAUAAAUAUUCGCAGUAACUGACAGAAACAUAAUAAAUAGGUCCAACAAACCAAGAAAAUAAGCAAAGAUAAAAUCUUAAAAAUCAUGAAUAGAUAUUCAUUUCUCAAAACUUAGCAAGUUAGAUAUAAAGUGUAUACCGGUCGAAUUGGCAGGCCCAGAAAGUUAAGCUCAAGCUUCCCUUUGCUGUGGCUGUAUCUGCAAUUUUCCCCAUGCUUACAUCCACCCGACCUCAAGUAAUACUGCAACAAGCUCAAGUGUUAUCUCAUCAUGAAACUGUUACUAGUCUGCCGUACACAUUGCAGAUAUUUGGAUAUAAGGCACAAAGAGAAGAAUUGUUACUGACAUCCGAAAGCAUAAUUGGAAUUACUGUAUAAAGGAAUACAAGAAUGUCAUGAAAAAAGCAUACAAUUUCAUGAAAACCCAUCCGGUGGAGAUUGUCUAACUACUCAUCAACUUGCUAUAAUUUAAUCAAACGGAUGAAAUGCCUCCCCAUACAACAUAAACAAAUAAAGUUCAAAAUCUCAGGAUUAUGCACUAGCCACAAGAUAAAAGUUUUUAGCUUUUUGUUUCGGUUAUGCAUGCCAACCUAAUUUUCAGAUAAGCGGACUCAGAAAACCCCACCAUCAUAACAAUGACCGCUAGGAUACCAAAUACAUAAACUAAAACAAAAUAUAACGAUUUGUGAGACGUUGAUCAAAUAACUGCACUAAAAACCAGAACUUCAAAUAUAAAAUUUCUGUGAAUCACAACAAUAAUAACCUUGCAUUCCGUCUGGCUUGGAUUCUCUGCCGACUCGUCCAUAUCCUUGACGCUUUCCUUGGGCACCUUCAAUAAGAACAAGUCAAAACACCAACAAAAAUGAAAGAUGAGGCCACGAAAACACGAAAAGUCUCAAUCUUUCUACCAUAAACAUACAUAUGCAGAUGCUAAGAGCAACUCCAGCCCCCAACACUCUAAGCUGGGCAACAGCCCAUUUUUUCCCCUCCCUCCCCAAAAACCCAGUCCACCCCAAUCAAUCCGCUGGGCUCCGGGGAAGGCCAGCAAGCUGCCCAGCAGAAAAUCGGCUGACUCAAUACCCGGCCUACUUGACGCCAUGCUCACGUCAUCGAUUUUUUAUUUUCUCCCGACGGAUUUCUCCCUCCCCUGCGACGACCAUCGGGAAACCUGGAGAAGGUUUGGCGAACCCAGCCUUCGAGGGAGGUCGAGCCUUCGCCGUCGCCGUCGAGAACCCAGCAUCCACAUCGUGCUGCUCGCCUCCACAUCCCCAAAUCCCAGCCUUCGAGGGGAAAAUUGUGGAAAUUCCAGGAACAAAGAAGAAGAAAUGGAUCGGAGGACUGCUCCUUGGAAGGGAUCGGGAAAAGGUGGGAGACUGGGAGAGUUUCCAGGAAGAACGAAGAAGAAGAAAGAAGAAAUAGGAAAAUAAAAAAUAAAAUUAACAAUAACAUAUUUUUAUUUUUAUUAAUUUUUAAUUAUCAAUUACCAGAACAAUUAUUUUACGAGGCAGAGAUAUACUCUAUUGAUUACUAUUUAUUACAGUCAAUUAUUCUUCAUUUGAGUAGAUUAAAUUUACUAUUGCCUAGCAAGAUUUUUAGGAUGGACUUGCUUUAAAAAGAAUAUGCGCAUUAAAUUGUCAAUAUAAUAAUUAAAAACAAAAUUAAAAUAAUAAAAUUAAGCAUGUUGUAACUAAUUUUUUUCCGUAUUUACGAAAAGAAUUAAUUUUAUUUGUUCAAAAAAAAGAGUUUAAAUUUUUUAAGAUGCCUCAUAUUAAUUAAAUUUCUGACUUGGUUGCUACGGAAAUGCUAAAUGCGGAACAAGAGAGAUUUACCUGCUUGUUUUUCCUUCUCCGAGGGUGAUUAUUCUUGCGAUUCGACCCGAACUUACAAUUGCCAGUCUUCAGAUCGUACCGACAGUCCCCACCUUCCGGCCUCAAUGGGUACUGAUUCCUUCUGCUACUCUCCCCAACAACCUCCUCCUCCACCCCACCGCCAUUCUCAUUCCCUCCUCCGCUGCCGCAGACGCUGCUGCUGCUUUCGCUCUUUUCCCUCUCUCUCUCCUUCUCAUUUUCCUUUUCCUUUUCAGUCUCUCUCUCCUUCUCCUCCUCUUCUGCUUUAUCCUCCUUUUCCUUCAAACUCAAUUUCCGAAUCCCAUCAACGAUGGAAGGAUCGAAGCUCCGAUCCUCAUCGAGGAAGGCGGGGUCGAAUUGCUGAAUCUCAUCGAGCACGGCGGGGCCGAGUGUCCCAAUCCAAUCAAGGAUUUCAACAACGGACGGCUCAGGAGACGGAACAGACGGGGGAUUUUGAGCAACGCCUACGCUUUCAGAAAAUUCCGAAGGGAUAGCAGGGUCCAAGUUCCGAAUCUCAUCAACGAUGGAAGGAUCGAAGUUGCGAAUCUCAACGGCGGGGUCGAAUUGCUGAAUCUCAUGGAGGAGGGCAGGGUCGCGAUUCCUAAUCCUAUUGAGCAAGGCGGGGUCGAGUGUGUCGAGUGUCCGAAUCCAAUGAAGGAUUUCAUGGUAGCGAUCGGAUGGCGCAGGAGACGGAACAGACGUCGGAUUUAGCGGAACUCCGACGCCUUCAGAAAAUUCCGAUUUCUGUCUGGAUUUAUAGUAAUUAUAAAUUGCGACCAGCACUGACAGUGACAACGGUAGGAGGAAACGCGCCGCUGACAACAUAGUUUUUGUGCUGAUGGCGGCGGCGGAUGCGGCGGCGACGGUAGCUGAAACUGGGUUGCUAGGUUUUGCUGUGAAUUUGCAACUAGCAACUACAUUAUGGAGGAAACAAACUCUCUCAUAUGAUAAAAAUAUAUUUUGACUGGCCAAGUCAAAGUCUGCUUUUUUCAGAGGCAUGUUUGGAUUGUUUUUAAAUUCCAAAGCUGCUUAUUUUCCAAAAAAAAACAUAAAACUGCUUUAGGAAAAGUGACUUAGAUGUGAAGACUAAUUAGCAACAUAGAGAGUAUCUCAAUCUCUUGCUAUCUAUCCUUCCAUCAAUGUGGGACUCAUUCUCAACAUACCCCUUCACGUGUGGUAAAUUUUCAAACCUAGCCCAAUCAUGUGAGACACAUUCUCAACAUGCCCUCCCAUGUGAUGAAUUUUCAAACCUAAUACGUGAAUAACACAACGGGAUGACGUGAAACGCGUGUGGCUAUUUGACUUCACAUGUGGGACAACAUGUUCUGAUACCAUGAAAAAAUCCCGGCACAGGUUUUAUCGACAAUGCACGUAACGUCGCCGCAAGUUCGAUACAUAACAGAAGAUCCCGGCACAGGUUCUAUCGAGCGAGAUCCACAACCGAACCAUUUGCGGUACUCGGGAUAGGCAGCGACAUCGAAAUUGAAAGGUUAUUCUCGGCUUCAGUGUUUUCCAGUAAUAUGACAUAGAUGAGAAAUAAUUUACAGGUUCCAUUUCCUUUAAAAUCUCACAACUAUAAAGUCUGUGUCGUCCGGUGAAGAGGUUUGAUACAUUUCUAAGAUUAAAUUACCAAAAGAGAAAGAUUACACAUGUUUGAGUGAUGCAAAUCCUGUGCUCUAGGCAAGCAUUUCAUGCAUAACUUACUGCACGGGCUGCGGCUGACUUGUAACAUCAGUUCCGUUUCUGCUCCCAGCCAUUCCUGCCCCGUUAGUAGUUGCCAAAUCACUGAAAGGAAGUUGAUGAUGAGGACCAGAUGUAGUUGAAGAUGAUAUAUGUAACGGGUGGUCAAAUUUACAAGCUGGCCCAAAUUUGCAAAGGCCAUAGCGACUGUAAUGUGUGCAAAUGCUCUGAUCCUGGAUUUUGAAACAAAUUGUGUGAUCAAUGGCGUGCAAUCAUGUAAUAUGCGAUCAAACUGUGGCUCUUAGAACAGAGGGAAGAGAACAAUUAGUUAAUAAUAUUUAUGAUUCGGGAACAAUUGUCCUCGCAUAGUAAUUCAUUUGUUUUAACUUCACGUAUCACAAAGUGAAAACCUUUCUAAGAUCAUAUUUCGAAAUUAUGAACUUGUUAUAAAUGGCAUAGGGUGAACUUACCGGUCUCAAAGGCAGGCCCUUGUCACUAAGUGCGAUUUGGGGGGCUACUGCAGUAUGAGUUUUUGGAUGGUGAUAUUUGCAAUUAGAUUUAAACUUGCAAUCCCCCGUUCUUAAGAAAUAACUGCAGAAGGGUUGGCCAGGUCUUUCUGGGAACUCUUCAACUUGAUUCUGGUGUGGAUAUUGCUUGUAGAUGUUGAUUUCAGCCAGAGAGUUGUUCAUCAUGUAUGGCGGACGUGCAGGCAUGAUUCUUUCUGGUACAUAUGCUGACGCCUAAAAGUUCACAACGAAAAACAAUAGGGAUACCAAUUAACAAAAAGGGACCUCACAAACUGAUAGAUGGCAAUUAAUGACUUGUGACCGCAGAGAUGAACUAAAUAAAUUACUACAAAUGUUGCAGACAGCAAUUUGUCAAACUAUUGGGAACUUUGAGUCCUGGUUAAAGAACAAAAUUCAUGGCAUAUUUGCACGACCAAAUUAUUAAUUUUACGAGCCAAAAAUGAAUAAAAAGAGCACGGCCAGAAAAGUAUAAGAAAGUUAAACAUACAAUCGUGAUCUCAAAUUCCGGAUAAAGUGUAAAUUGGUAUAUCAAAGUGAUCAACGUUAUUCAAACCCGAGACUAUAAUAUGGGAAAGUUAAAUAAAAAGUACCUGAUAACCAUUCCAUUCUGAAUUUUGAGAAGAAACUACUUGAGGUGGUGGAAUUAUCAAUGUUGAGUAAACCGGAGACUCAUUCAAAGGCCUUGGUGCAGACCAUGGUGCCACUGUUGAUUGUGAUGCACCUUGUAAAGAUGCAGGACCACCAUUACCAUAUCCAGAUGGGGGAUCAGAUCCUCCUGUAGUUG
This 5510-nucleotide long non-coding RNA is filed under the name Malus domestica (apple). RNAcentral's name for it is "long non-coding RNA (MDOM_LNC014237)". Lineage: Eukaryota; Viridiplantae; Streptophyta; Magnoliopsida; Rosales; Rosaceae. The record is from RNAcentral.